UACGGGAGGCAGCAGUGGGGAAUUUUGGACAAUGGGCGAAAGCUUGAUCCAAGCAAUGCCGCGUGUGUGAAGAAGGCCUUCGGGUUGUAAAGCACUUUUGUCCGGAAAGAAAACCUCCGCCCUAAUAUGGUGGGGGGAUGACGGUACCGGAAGAAUAAGCACCGGCUAACUACGUGCCAGCAGCCGCGGUAAUACGUAGGGUGCAAGCGUUAAUCGGAAUUACUGGGCGUAAAGCGUGCGCCGGCGGUCCGCUAAGACAGAUGUGAAAUCCCCGGGCUUAACCUGGGAACUGCAUUUGUGACUGGCGGGCUAGAGUAUGGCAGAGGGGGGUAGAAUUCCACGUGUAGCAGUGAAAUGCGUAGAGAUGUGGAGGAAUACCGAUGGCGAAGGCAGCCCCCUGGGCCAAUACUGACGCUCAUGCACGAAAGCGUGGGGAGCAAACAGGAUUAGAUACCCUGGUAGUCCACGCCCUAAACGAUGUCAACUAGUUGUUGGGGAUUCAUUUCCUUAGUAACGUAGCUAACGCGUGAAGUUGACCGCCUGGGGAGUACGGUCGCAAGAUUAAAACUCAAAGGAAUUGACGGGGACCCGCACAAGCGCUGGAUGAUGUGGAUUAAUUCGAUGCAACGCGAAAAA
This 636-nucleotide ribosomal RNA is filed under the name Paraburkholderia sp. Its description in RNAcentral is "bacterial SSU rRNA". It matches the Rfam family "Bacterial small subunit ribosomal RNA", at positions 340 to 968 of the family's 1533-position model. The record is from RNAcentral. Lineage: Bacteria; Pseudomonadati; Pseudomonadota; Betaproteobacteria; Burkholderiales; Burkholderiaceae.